RNAcentral lists this ribosomal RNA (372 nucleotides) under uncultured bacterium. Its description in RNAcentral is "bacterial SSU rRNA". It matches the Rfam family "Bacterial small subunit ribosomal RNA", at positions 527 to 896 of the family's 1533-position model. The record is from RNAcentral.
GUAGGUGGCAAGCGUUAUCCGGAAUUACUGGGCGUAAAGCGCACGCAGGCGGUCUUGUAAGUUUGACGUGAAAGCUCCCGGCUUAACUGGGAGAGGUCGUUGAAGACUGCAAGACUUGAGGAAAUGAGAGGGGUGUAGAAUUCCCGGUGUAGUGGUGGAAUGCGUAGAUAUCGGGGGGAAUACCAGUGGCGAAAGCGGCACCCUAGCAUUUUUCUGACGCUCAUGUGCGAAAGCGUGGGGAGCGAACGGGAUUAGAUACCCCGGUAGUCCUAGCCUUAAACGAUGAAUGCUUGGUGUCUGGGGUUUUAUAGUCCCCGGGUGCCGUCGCUAACGCUUUAAGCAUUCCGCCUGGGGAGUACGGUCGCAAGACUG